Molecule: long non-coding RNA, 661 nt
Organism: Numida meleagris (helmeted guineafowl)
Lineage: Eukaryota; Metazoa; Chordata; Aves; Galliformes; Numididae
Exons: 3
Source: RefSeq, a predicted model, not a curated record
GCAGCUGGCGGCCGGCCUGCGCGAGGCCGGGAGCGCGCGGCCCCAGGCGCUGCUGCCCCGCGGUUCUGCGCGCUCCGCCGCCCGCCCUUCCCGCACGGGGAGGUUUCGGAGGCUGCCAGCACGUGCCUGUGAAUGGGAAACCCCGCGCCGGGUGAUUGCCGAGGGCACCUCCGUGCGCCGGGCAGCGCGCCGCUCCGGGACAGCCCGCGGCCCGGUGUCAGGUUCAGUACGUGAGCGCUGCGGAAGUUCAGAGCCCGCACACAUCACGAGCACAGCACUACCAUCUGUGCAUCAACCAAAGGGAAGACUCUGCAUUUCAGUAUUUGGUGGUUCAGCUCAAUUGGGUUUAGUUUUAUUUUAUUUUUUUGUAAAUAAAAAAAUACUUUUAAAACAAUUCUUUGAAAUGAGAGGACUCAGUUUCAAGGAUUCUGUAGCCCACAGCGAGCCCUCCUGCUAUACAGGAACAGAAAGGGUCGCUACCAGCUAACCAGAGCAGGGUUAAAAAAGAAAAGAAAAAGUCACACACAUUUUGAAAAGUAUAACUCUGCAUUGCAUAGGAAGAGAACGCAGUGUGGUUUCCAGUGCAUAGUUAAGCACUAUUGUAUCUGACCACAUCUGCUGGCUUUUAAUGUAUUUCCUUGAAUAAUCUGUUCUGAAUAAU